This 224-nucleotide unclassified non-coding RNA is filed under the name plant metagenome. RNAcentral's name for it is "partial contains small subunit ribosomal RNA, internal transcribed spacer 1, and 5.8S ribosomal RNA". The record is from RNAcentral.
UUUCCGUAGGUGAACCUGCGGAAGGAUCAUUAGUGAAUUGAAUAUGUUAGCGGACCUCUUCGGAGUCCCUAGCAUCAAAUCAUAUCCAUAACACCUGUGAACUGUAAGGCUGUCUUGAAAACGAAAGUGAUUAGAGCGCCUGCUUAUUUAUACAAACAUUAAAGUAACAAACGUAGUCUUAUUAUAAUCUAAUAAAACUUUCAACAACGGAUCUCUUGGCUCUC